CAUCGGUGACAGGUGGUGCGAUGGUUGUCGUCAGCUCGUGUCGUGAGAUGUUGGUUAAGUCCGCAACGAGCGCAACCCCUAUUGUUAGUUGCCAUCAUUCAGUUGGGCACUCUAGCGAGACUGCCGGUAAUAAACCGGAGGAAGGUGGGGAUGACGUCAAAUCAUCAUGCCCCUUAUGACCUGGGCUACACACGUGCUACAAUGGUUGGUACAACGAGUUGCGAGUCGGUGACGGCGAGCUAAUCUCUUAAAGCCAAUCUCAGUUCGGAUUGUAGGCUGCAACUCGCCUACAUGAAGUCGGAAUCGCUAGUAAUCGCGGAUCAGCACGCCGCGGUGAAUACGUUCCCGGGCCUU
RNAcentral lists this ribosomal RNA (354 nucleotides) under uncultured Streptococcus sp. RNAcentral describes it as "bacterial SSU rRNA". It matches the Rfam family "Bacterial small subunit ribosomal RNA", at positions 1026 to 1382 of the family's 1533-position model. The record is from RNAcentral. Lineage: Bacteria; Bacillati; Bacillota; Bacilli; Lactobacillales; Streptococcaceae.